Molecule: ribosomal RNA, 497 nt
Filed under: uncultured bacterium
Lineage: Bacteria
Description: partial 16S ribosomal RNA
Rfam family: Bacterial small subunit ribosomal RNA
Source: RNAcentral
GACGAACGCUGGCGGCGUGCCUAAUACAUGCAAGUAGAACGCUGAAGAGAGGAGCUUCCUCUUCUUGGAUGAGUUGCGAACGGGUGAGUAACGCGUAGGUAACCUGCCUUGUAGCGGGGGAUAACUAUUGGAAACGAUAGCUAAUACCGCAUAACAAUGGAUGACACAUGUCAUUUAUUUGAAAGGGGCAAUUGCUCCACUACAAGAUGGACCUGCGUUGUAUUAGCUAGUAGGUGAGGUAAUGGCUCACCUAGGCGACGAUACAUAGCCGACCUGAGAGGGUGAUCGGCCACACUGGGACUGAGACACGGCCCAGACUCCUACGGGAGGCAGCAGUAGGGAAUCUUCGGCAAUGGGGGCAACCCUGACCGAGCAACGCCGCGUGAGUGAAGAAGGAUUUCGGAUCGUAAAGCUCGGUUGUAAGUCAAGAACGGGUGUGAGAGUGGAAAGUUCACACUGUGACGGUAGCUUACCAGAAAGGGACGGCUAACUACGUG